RNAcentral lists this long non-coding RNA (298 nucleotides) under Mytilus galloprovincialis (Mediterranean mussel). The record is from RNAcentral. Lineage: Eukaryota; Metazoa; Mollusca; Bivalvia; Mytilida; Mytilidae.
AGAUUAAAAAAAUGUUUGUACUUCUCCUCGCGCAUUCACAAUGUCCUCAAUUCGAACCGAUCCCCUAACGCAUAAAAUAAAACACGCCGCCCAAAGCGACAUUCAUACCCAAACUGAGAUAAAAAAAAAAAAAACAAAAAAAAAAAACCAACUAAAUUUGAACUUGUUGGUCUGUCAAUAGAACCAUUUCAACAUUAAUGUGUCACAUUUUAAGGCAACAUCUAGUGGGGCAACUGUUUUUGGAGGUGUUCAACUGUAAAUGAUACAUGUAUCUCUUCGUUUAAGUAUUCAACACAAC